ACCCCUCUUGGUACCCGCUGUGGCAGCUGAGCCGGAGGGGUCCCGCUGGGGGCCCGGGAGGGAAGGAAGAGGGCUCCUCCCCCGCGGCUUGGGUGGGGAGCGGGGCUCGGGGGGCACCGCCCCACCCCCUUCUCUGGAAUCCCCACGCCGUGAAGUCAUAAUCCUGUGUCUGUGACACCCUGUCGGUUGCCAUGGAGACGACUCGCUGUUAAACAGUGGCGUUCCCGAUGAGGGCUGCAGGGGUUCCGAGGUGGACCUAGGCAGUAGAAACCCCUGUUUAGGGUGAACCGUGGCGGGCGCCGCUGGCCUCUUGGAAGAGGACAGACUAGCAGCUGCGAAGGAGAUGGGGCUGGGCUGCACCCCUGCAAGGGCCCCGGAGACAGGGGAUGAGGGACAGGGGAAGGGGCUGGUGGUCCUCUCUCCUGAGGCCCCGCACCGUCACAUGGAUGACUUGGCAGAAUAGCUGCUGGGCCAGUGUUGUCGCCUGUGGCUCUACUUUAGGGAAACUGACUAGGAAAUCAUGAUGUCGCCAUUUCGAUGGGGUCCCCAGAAGAGAGAUGUCCUUCCCAAAAGUUCCUGGACAGGGCUGGGGAAAGAGUUCAGAUAAUCAGUAUCUUGGUGUUCUGGGCUGUUCCCUUACAACUGCACAACUCUGGACCUCCAGCAUCAGAACCACUGGGGCCUAGCAUCUUGCAGAAGGGCUGCUGAACGCUGGAGGCUUGCAACUGCUAAACUCAGAACUCAGGAAAUGCUGCCCGGAUGGGUGAGUCCUUUUAACACCUCUUGGGUUGAUUUUUCUCACAGGUUUUUGGUGUUUGCAAAGCUCUGAGACUGUGACCUCAAGCUGCUCAGUACUUUGGCCCCAUUUCAGAGGCUUUAGGCCUGGGCCAGAGAUGGAUGCUGCAGGGGCUGUUUUAUUCUAAGUUUUUUUCUUCAUUGGUCAUUUCAUUGGUCAUUGGGCUUUAAGAAAAGCACUUCUUCAGGAUCAAAGAAGCAGUGAUGGAAGGAAAAGCAGAGAAACCCAAUGAGCCCCGACUGGUGGUGAAACUUCCAGGAAAUAUCACUUGCCUCUUGAUUAGGGGAAAUCACUUUUAAAUGACCCUGAGUCCUGUGCCCCAAGCAUAGAUUCUGGCAGAAAGAAACGAGCUGGACUGAUGACACACUAUGGCAUCUGGUCAUGGGGAAAGAAUGAUCUUCAGGAAAAAUCACACCCUUGGCAAAGGCUUUUUACAGAGGCAAGGGCGAGCCGGCCAAUUCUGACAAUGCUCCAGUGUAGCAAGGGAGCCAGGCACUUAGUCAUCAUUACUUAUGUGUCUUCUCUUCCUCCCACGUCUCCUUGUAUAACUGUCUUUUGGGGAGGGGUGAAGUGAUAUUAAGAAAAUCAACAGCGCUUUGAAAAAGGGGCAGGGGGAAAAAACAAGAAGGGGAGAAAGAGUUGGGAAGAGCUCUUGGGUGAUGGGGAGAUGGCAUGGGGAUAUUCUGGAGCCUGACGGAACUGUGUGGUCCCACCAGCCGGAGAUGCUGGGAAGACAGGAAGGAAUUCGGGAGGUGGCAGAGAUGAAGUUGGCUCACAAAAUGCAGGGCUCCCUGAGCACUUUACAAAUACCAGCUUGCAAAUUAAUCAUGAUGAAUACUCCCCGGUCAUCAGGAAACCCUUGAUGGAUGGAGGACAAUGCACAGAGAUCAAAGUUCAGGGGCAGCACCAAUAUUCAUUUGGGGCAGUUGGAGUGAGAGCAGCACGGGGUGACAGCCUGGUUGGCCUCAUAGGCUUUCUCAUCUUUUGCAAGAUCUGGAAACCAUGCAAAGGGUGUAAUGGGGAGAGGCGCUGACAUCAGGCAUUAUGCGACCACUGAAUGGGGGCAAAGAGGCAGGAGGAGAAGUGAGUGAUGACGGGUCAACAGCUGCAGGUAGACCCAUUUGCAGGUUAUCAGAAACUAACUUAACUAUUCAGCUCUCUUUUUGUGGUUACCUUGAACGCUGUGAAUCUACUUGAAAACCAGGAUGAUCCUUCGAGUGAGCUGCAGAUGUCCAACUGGGCAUGUUUUCUGCUUCGAAGUCACAGGUAAUUCGGUGUACAAGUUUAACGCCCUGAUAGGCCCUAGCCUUAGCUCCGUUUUAAAUUCCCAGAGUGUUUUUGUGUCUGUGUGCAUGUGGGGGGAACACCUGAAAACCCAGCAAUGCUGCUUCCACAGCGAUCUCCUGGGCCCCUUCCAAAGAUGGUCAUAUUAUGGGCAGCUGGUUUUGAUUUUUACAUUUGCAACAGCUACUUGGAGGAUUGCCAGCAACAGGCAGGCAAUCAGGACAUAUUUAUUAAGUGUACUGGGCACCGGGCACUGGUCCUGGAAUUCUCCUGGUUGUAAGCAAGUGAGGGGACAGGGAGGUGAGAGCUAGAAUAGCCAUUUUGAAGUGUGAGAUUUAUUGGACCCCAUACUGGGCAACUGACUGAGAGAGGCUACCAGUCUUCCAGCUAAACUCGCCUCUGGUCAAGAAUCAGCAAUUGCUUUCCAUAGCAAAGUGUUAAUACAAUAUCUGUUACUCCCAACACAACCUCCUGUGGGAAGGGACCAUCUGUCUGCUUUAACCUUGGAUCCUCAGCGUCCACAUCAGGGUACCUGGCCUGAGGUGAGUGCUGUAGAAAUAGUUGUUGAAAGAAUGCAUGAAGACCUGCUCUGCCUAAGGGCUGGGGACAGAUUGGGAGUCUUCUGUGUCCCCUCCAGAGCAUCUGGUGGCCCAUUUUUAGGUCUCAAGGUCACUGCCAAGAAAGAGAAGCUGCUAAAGUGACACCUCUGUGCACCCACAUGACUUAACACAAAAGUUAACACGAGCUCUUCAAAAACAAACCUCUCAAGUGUCUCCUGCCUUCCCUGAGGACAGCAUUGGUGGCAUCAGAUAGGGGUUGGGGCUGGGUGACCUGCUGGUCCUUGGCCAUCACUGUGGCCCAGAGGUCAUUUAAGUAGCUCUCUGCUCAGCACACAGGCAGAGGGAAUAGAUGGAAGGUAGAGGUAAACACUGCAUGUGGCCAUGGUGAAGGCACUCCAGAGCCUGGGAAACUGAAAGGGACAUCAUAAAACCAACACAUAAUGGACCAUUGCAGAGACAGGCAAAACCAGUCAGAAGAAAUAGCAUGGUGCCCAGGCCAGGGACACCUGACCUAAGGUAUUUUGUUUUUUUGAGACAGGAGUCGCUCUCUGUCACUCAGGCUGGAGUGCAAUGGUGUGAUCACAGCUCACUGCAGUCUCAACCUCCCAGGCUCAAGCGAUCCUCCCACCUCAGCCUCCUUAGUAGUAGCUGGGACUACAGGUGUGCACCACCACCCCCGAGAGGGCUCUGCCGAAUACCCUAGAGGAAGGAAUGCUGCACAGAGAGGCCGAGAAGAAUCUGGACAGACAGACCUUGGUGGAUUUAGAUCUCUUUUUGUCCAAUCCCAUUUUGACACAGUUGUCCAUGCUUCACUCAUGCUUAUCCAAUGAAGUUUCCAUAACAGGCCUGAGAGGACAGGGUUCAGGAGCUUCCAGAGAGCUAAGCAGGUGGAGGUUCCUCAGGGGGGUGUUUCAGGGAGGGAGUGGAAACUCUGCCCCUUCCCCCAUAUCUUGCCCUAUGCAUUUCCUUCAUCUGUAUCCUUUAUUUUUCUGAGACAGAGUCUCGCUCUUGUCGCCCAGGCUAGAGUGCAAUGGUAUGAUCUUGACCCACUGCAACCCCCACCUCCAGGGUUCAAGUGAUUCUCCUGCCUCAGCCUCCCAAGUAGCUGGGAUUACAGGCACCUGCCACCACACCCGGCUAACUUUUGUAUUUUUAGUAGAGACGGGGUUUCACCAUGUUGGCCAAAGUAGUCUCAAACUCCUGACCUCAGGUGAUCCGCCCACCUCAGCCUCCCAAAGUGCUGGGGUUACAGGCAUGAGCCACUAUGCCUGACCGUAUCCUUUAUAUCUUUUAUAAACAGUCAAUCAGUAAAUGUGUUUCUCUGACUUCUGUGAGAUGCUCUAGCAGACUAAUCAGAUCCACCGAGGGGUCAUGGGAACCCCAACCAGAAGCCUGUGGGUCAGAAUUUCUGGAGUCCUGGACUUGUGUCUGGUGUCUGAAGUGGGCAAGUCUUCAGGACUGAGCCCUCAACCUGUGGGAUCUGAUGCUGUCUCCAGGUAGAGAGCAAUGGCAUUGAAUUGGCGGACACCCGGCUGGGGUCUGCUGCAGAGCUGAUUGCUUGCUUGGUGGUGGAGAGAAAUCUCCCUCCACGUGUGGUCACAGCAUCUUCUGUCUGUGUUGAUUGCUUUUGGUGCUGAUUGAGAGAACGGGAAAAAGCACAUCGAAUGGUCUUUUUUCCCCAUAUUCAAAGUGGUGUAAUGGUUAGGAGGUGGGUUUGGAAAUCCCAGUGGGGUGACCGCGGCCACGUUACCUUUCUGGCCUCAGUUGCAUUGUCUAUAAAAUGGGAUCCUCUCAAGCACUCCUAUCUCCUCCUGGAAUGCUUGAGAGGAUUAAAUGAGAAAAUUUACGGAAAGUGUUUACUGCAGUGCAUGGCACGUAGUAAGAGCUCAAAAUGGUCCCAAUGAUGAAGAUGACAAUAAUCUGGCUUCUAGGUAGUCACGUGGCAGGCAACAGCUAUGCAGAUCCUCAUAAUCUACUUGGGGUGACAGUUUAACACAGGGGUUGGCAAUUCUAGCCCACUUCCUAUUUUUAUAAAUAAAGCUUUAUUGAAAUGCAGCCAUGCUCAUUCAUUUUGGAUCACGCUGCACUGGCAGAGUUGAGUGGUGGUGAUAGACACCUGUGGUCAAUAGAACAUAACGGCCCUUUAUAGAAGAAAGGGUAUACUAUUUGGCCCUUUACAGAAAAGGUUUGUCAUCCUGUCCUCGUUCAUUAGUAGACAACCAGCUGGUUCCUGGACUUCACCGAGGAAAGUGCUAUAUUAGGCAGUUGUGGGUAUAAAGUCUGGGCUCCAACAUUUGCUCUGUGACCUUGGGCAAGUUACUUACCUACUCUGGGCUCAUCAUUUUCACAGAGGAAACAGGAGUGAUGACAGUGGGGAUGAAGUGGGAUACUGUCUGGACCAUGCUUUGCAUAGUGCCUGAUGGCUAGGAAGGACUCUAUACGAAGUAGUUACUAUGAUUAGCUAUUAUAUUUCAACUGACAAAAGGUACAAAGAAACUCCCAGGAAGAGGGUCAUUGCUGCAUGCUGCUCUCUUUAAAGAACGCCCAGCAGUAAUCCCAUACAGAGCCAACGAGAUAUGUGGACAUCAAAAGGGAGUGCUCCUAUGUAACAUACCCAGUAAAUUAAUGAUUCCACUCCCUUUUCAUUUAAAGCAGUGGAUCAGAAUUUGAAAAGGAGUAAAGGUCAAGGCCAUGAGGUCUGACUAACAUGAUAGCAUCAGUGCCUGGCCCAUAGUAGGCCCCGGUAUCUACUGGCUGAAUGGAUGGAGCUGGUUGUUUAACUGUAAAACUAUCCUCUCUGAUGAUAAGACCACAGUUACCCAGAAGAUAAAGUUUCUGCCUCCAAUAUUUUUGGGUCUUAGAAAGGAAAACAGUGUGCUAAAGAUGACAGGAAACUCAAAACAAGGACCUGCUAAUGCUUCUCCCAACUGGAUGGAGGCACCGUGAUGGAUUCCUGGGCAACAGAUGGGCAAAGAAAAAUGUUUAAAAACAAAAGCUGGGACAUAAGGUCAUGAAUUGGCCCAAAAUAACCUGUGACACUGAGCAGACGGAUGCAAGCAGUGCACCUGAUGGAAAUGAGGCCAAGCUGAUGAGCUGAAAUAGCCUACCCUCACUGGUGCCCUGCGUCCUGCUUCAGGACGCCUCAGCAUGGGAAAGAGGCGCGCAUUAGCAUUAUCUGGUUUAGGUUUUCUCACAUCCUUAGUGGACUGCUUUCAUUCCUAAGUCCCUAAAAAGUUGGAGACCACUCCACUUACCAGGAGCACGCUUUGGAAUGCAGAUCUGGAAGCUAUUUUUUCCCUCCAGACAUUUCAUGACUCUGGUUUCUACAACAGCAGGCGAUGGUGACGUUGCCAAGUUUCAAGAGAAGGGCACCUUAUCUGCAAAGUCACGAAUCCAAGGAUCCAAACGGGCUCCCACUGCCAAGGGCGGAAGGAAGUUGUUUGUCUUAGCUUCUUGAAAGAUCAGAAGAUUGGGAGGUUUGGGGUAUACGGGUACCUCGUUGCACCGUGGUGUACCCCCCAGGGGAAAGACUGCGGUAGCUUCUCAGAAUCUGUAGUGGGUGGGGCUGUGUAGCAGAGCGUCUUAGUAAAUGCCCAUUUGGUUGCAAAUGAACAGAAACUCAAACCAGCUGAAGUAAACAGGGGGCAUCUAUGGGGAAGAAAAGCCAGUUCAACCUCCAAGUCUGACUCUUCAGCUUUGCUUAGCCACUGAUUUUCUAAUCUUCCUCAUUUCCUUCCAAUAAACUCUUUCUAUUUAAGUUAGCCACAGAAAGUAUCUGUUGUUUACAGCCAAGGGAUCUUGAGUGAUACAAAGGGUCCUAGUGGAACCCAAGGGCAGGCAUUGGAACUGGCCUUCCCAAGAAAGGAAACUGGGAAUCAGAAAGUCAUUGGGAAUCAAGGUAACUUUCUCUGAGGUCAGCUGAGAAUGUAUUUAGCUUCAAAUGGCAGAUAACCCCAUGUGAGUAGACUGUAAAAAUUUGGAGCCCCUCCCAUACUUACUCUGGCUUUAUCUGAUGGGAUAUUAACAAACACAAGGCAAGCAGAGACUUGAAAAGUGCUUGUGCACUGGGGCCCAUUCUCACCUGCUGCUCUUGGGAACCGUGGCCACCACAUGUGAACGGGCCUAGUCCAGCUGGCUGAAGGAUGAGUGGGCGUGCUGGGCAGAGACAAAGGGUUGUAGUAGAAGGCCUCUCGAGACCGGGUUUCUCAA
Callithrix jacchus (white-tufted-ear marmoset) is the source of this 6849-nucleotide non-coding RNA. NCBI's taxonomy places the organism in Eukaryota, Metazoa, Chordata, Mammalia, Primates, Cebidae. The record is from RefSeq and is a predicted model, not a curated record.